RNAcentral lists this long non-coding RNA (476 nucleotides) under Gallus gallus (chicken). RNAcentral's name for it is "lncRNA (ENSGALG00010018442.1)". The record is from RNAcentral. Lineage: Eukaryota; Metazoa; Chordata; Aves; Galliformes; Phasianidae.
AUGAAUUCUUUUUUAGAUGCCAAAAUUUAAAAGAAAGCGUAACUGAAAUGAAUGGACUUUUUUUACACAAGGAACCUUAAGUGCAUUAAGGAAGAUGCACAGGCCUGAGAUGAUCUGUCUGAAGCCUGGGACUUAAUUUAAUAAGUUGAAGUUGAGUUAGCACCGUUGAGCCUCUGGGGCCGCAUCUUGCAUCAGAAAGAACACAGCUCGUUAUCAUUCCUGAACUAUGCUCCUCUCAGUCGCUGCGCUGGGUAAUGUGAGGUGACACGUGGAGGAAAACAGGAUCUCUUCCAGCAUAUGUGAAAAGCUGCUGGGAAUGAGACAAAAGGCUGGGGUUAGAGCACUCGACAAAGAGAUCCAUUCACCUCCAUCCAUCAGCAGAGCACCCAGGUGUAGCUGCAACUACGCUGGGAGAGGAGACCCUGCAACCUUUUGAAGCUUUUCUCUGCUGCAUGAAAUAAUUAGAAAUCCUUGAG